This 450-nucleotide ribosomal RNA is filed under the name uncultured bacterium. RNAcentral's name for it is "partial 16S ribosomal RNA". It matches the Rfam family "Bacterial small subunit ribosomal RNA", at positions 354 to 796 of the family's 1533-position model. The record is from RNAcentral.
GGGGGGAAUUUUGGACAAUGGGCGAAAGCCUGAUCCAGCCAUGCCGCGUGCAGGAUGAAGGCCUUCGGGUUGUAAACUGCUUUUGUACGGAACGAAAAGACUCUGGUUAAUACCUGGGGUCCAUGACGGUACCGUAAGAAUAAGCACCGGCUAACUACGUGCCAGCAGCCGCGGUAAUACGUAGGGUGCAAGCGUUAAUCGGAAUUACUGGGCGUAAAGCGUGCGCAGGCGGUUAUAUAAGACAGAUGUGAAAUCCCCGGGCUCAACCUGGGAACUGCAUUUGUGACUGUAUAGCUAGAGUACGGCAGAGGGGGAUGGAAUUCCGCGUGUAGCAGUGAAAUGCGUAGAUAUGCGGAGGAACACCGAUGGCGAAGGCAAUCCCCUGGGCCUGUACUGACGCUCAUGCACGAAAGCGUGGGGAGCAAACAGGAUUAGAUACCCCGGUAGUCC